RNAcentral lists this ribosomal RNA (113 nucleotides) under Acanthosepion pharaonis. Lineage: Eukaryota; Metazoa; Mollusca; Cephalopoda; Sepiida; Sepiidae. The record is from RNAcentral.
UACGGUCAAAUCACGCUGAAACACCGGUUCUCGUACGAUCACCGAAGUUAAGCAGCGUAGAGCCAGAUCAGUACUUAGAUGGGGGACCGCUUGGGAACACCUGGUACUGUAAG